Non-coding RNA from Caenorhabditis elegans, 197 nucleotides. The record is from Ensembl. Lineage: Eukaryota; Metazoa; Nematoda; Chromadorea; Rhabditida; Rhabditidae.
UGCAACACAAAAAGCUGUUCGCAUUUGCUUACUUCCGCUUGAAAUCUCACCGAAAUGUUGCUGUGAUAUUCGGCAGACAUCUGGAAAAAAGUCGAAAUUCUUCACAGCGGCGGCAAAACUACAGUAACCUAUGAUUAUACAGAGAGACAUCCCCCUACUACGGCACGUUUACUUUCCGCGUUACAGCAUCACGUACC